UUCGACUGUUUUACCAAAAACAUAGCUAAUAGAAAAAAUUAUUGCUAGUGAUGCCUGCUCAAUGAUUGAACAAUAACAAAUAACAACAAUUAAAUAGCCGCGGUAACACCUGACCGUGCAAAGGUAGCAUAAUAAAUCGCCUACUAAUUAUAGGAUAGAAUGAAGGUAAAACGAAGACCUAACUGUCUCAAGACCCUAAAUUUAAAAUAGAAUGUGUGUGUAAAUCCACACUAAAACGGCAAGACGAUUAGACCCUAAGAACUUUACCCAAAGCUUUAAACUUUCAAAAGCUUUAAGUUUCGUUGGGGCAACGAUCUUUAAAAAAGUAACUAAGAAUAUUCAAUCACACAAAUAAUAACACAAACAAUAAUUUCAAAAAGAUAAAACCCAUUAACUAAAAAAUUAAUGAAAUAAAAUAAAAGUUCCUUAGGGAUAACAGCGUCAUAUCGUUUUUUAGAAAAUACCCAAACGAUGUUUGCGACCUCGAUGUUGAAUUACRA
RNAcentral lists this ribosomal RNA (500 nucleotides) under Trychella kermadecensis. RNAcentral describes it as "partial 16S ribosomal RNA". Lineage: Eukaryota; Metazoa; Porifera; Hexactinellida; Lyssacinosida; Euplectellidae. The record is from RNAcentral.